Molecule: long non-coding RNA, 1205 nt
Organism: Cydia fagiglandana
Lineage: Eukaryota; Metazoa; Arthropoda; Insecta; Lepidoptera; Tortricidae
Exons: 5
Source: RefSeq, a predicted model, not a curated record
CUUGCUCACUCGCUGUGCGUAGAACGUAGUACUUGUGUAAACGUGUAAAUAAAUUGGAGAUAGCAAACAAGAAAACAGAAAGGGUUCGCGGUUCAACUUUUUUCUAACGGUUUCCUCGGCGUCCUUUACAAAGUCCAGUUGAUAUCGUGUCCUGUCCACGUCCAGGGUGGAUCAGACCUGAUCUACAAAUCUUGGAGCAGCCGCUUUCGUCGUAUGCCAUUAAAAAAAUUAAAACAUGCCCGUUAUUAAAAUUUGGUCAGUAGACCAAACAAUCAAGAAAGCUGUUCCAAUAAUGGACCCAACUUUAAAAAAUAUCAUUGAAAAAGUAUGAUGUCAAUUUAAAAAUUUGACGCUUGAAGUUGACAAGAUAGAGCUGAUGCUGAACCCUGGCUGUACCUAGUGGAACUCAGGUUUGGUGCAACAUAGGCCCACGCUAUUUUGAUCAUCCGUCACAUAGAGGGAGAGCAAUACCCAAGAUAGAAUUCAUAAUCCAUUUUCUUCCAGGUGAGGUACCAUCCUAAAUAUAGUAGUUCCAUUUACUAAUCUUAUUAACUUUUUCUUUUCCAGGAACCAUUAACCAGGGUUCAAGUUGCAGAGCUAUCCGAAAUAGCUGCGCCUAACAUUGUAUUUUUAGAUAAUGAAAAUAUAAUUAUAUUACUUGCUGGUAGAAAAAACGAUUGUUAGCGAAACUGAGAUUCUGCCUACGUCGUUACAACUAUUGAUGGCGGCUUACUGCAACUUGAAUAUGGAAUAUCCACUAUAUCCAGUGGACUGUCAAAACACAUUAGAAUUUAUACAAAGGUACCUAUAUUUUUAAAAUAAAUCCUAAAGAAGGAAGUCAUAAGUAAUAGUUUUUGAUUUUUAAAAAGCGUUUUUCAAUUAAAAGACAUGUCAAGAUCGCUUAACUUCUUGCAAGUUCUUUCUAAUGCUAAAAAAACUAACUUUAAUUAAUGUCAGUAACAAACAUUUUCAGACAAUUCGUUACUUGAAAUGGUAUAGGUUUCACGCAUUAGAUUCACAUAGGCCUUAUUAACCGAAACUUUUAUAAGACUAAUUCAUAACUUUCAUAAGAAGUACUUAUGUACAUAAGAUAUAAUUUAUAGUGUCGUAUAUGUCUUCUACUUUUUGUACUCUGUCACAGAAUAAAUAAUAAUAAUAUGCACGUAGACGUGUAUAUACGCGUGUGCUCUAUAAUUUUAGUGUGU